UUCUCGUUCUUUUAUUUCUUUCCCAAACCUGCCGCGACUCUCCACCUUCCUUACGCGACUCUCUGCCCUCCUCGCCGCUCGAGUCUCCGCCGCCUCCUCACCGCUCGAGUCUCCGCCUCAUCUUUGCCACCUCUCUCUGUCCUCCUUGCCGCUCGAAUCUCCACCUUCUCCUCGCCAUGAAUCACCAGUUGCAGAGCAUUCCCACACAGGGGAACCAAAUGGUGGCCUAGCAAUUCACGCUGUUCGCCGACGACCCGAGGCUCGCGGAAAAAGCCGCGAGGUUCCCUUGCUUCGGCGUGAGGAAUCUCGCGGAGGCGGGAAAGCUGUCUAGGGUUUUGAGCAGCCAGUCUCUCAUGUCAGCCAACAAUGGAAAAAGGGUAACAAUAUCUGACGCGAUAAUGGAAAAGCCCAGAUUUAGCGGUAGGGUUUCAUACUCGUCUUUGCUAGGAGCUUCACCGAUGUCAGAUAGUUUGGUGAUGAUUGGUGCCAAGAGGAAUGGGAGGAAGCGGAAAGCGGCUCCAAAGUGCCAAGGAAAAAUCUCACCUUUGUCUUCCCCUAACAUGAAUCCUCCCAAGGAGGUAAUUUCUAGUACAAAGAAAUGCAAACUGCGCGAGGGCAUGAGCAGAACAUCAAUGGUAGCCGGAAACUGGGAGAAGAUGCCAAACCGUUUGAGCCGCCGAAGGAUUACAUCCAUAUCAUGGCAAGAAGAGGGCAAGCCACCGACAACCACAGCCUAGCUGAGAGGGAGAGAAAAGAUCAGUGAGAGAAUGAAGCUUCUCCAAAAUCUUGUGCCAGGUUGCAACAAGGUGGCAGGCAAGGCUGUUAUGCUCGAUGAGAUCAUCAACUACGUGUAGUGCUUGCAGUGGCAAGUUGAGGUGAGACCCUUGCUAUAAAUAGCAAUGGAAGAUGCAGUAUACGAUGCCCUUAUGUAUCCAUUCUUAUACAAUGACUACGGUCCUGUUGAGGCAGGGAGAAUGGUGGCAUGCACUGCUGCUUGUUUGUGCCAUGCUGCAGCUCUUCGCCCAAGCAUGAGUCAAGUAUUUUGCUCAAACUCUUUCUUGUUUCUCAUUCCAUUUAUUAAACUAGUCUUUCUGCUUGAUCUGUAUCAUUGUCUCCUAUGUUCUUGUGCAUCACUAGUUGUUUUCAUUUGAAGAUCAGACUACUGUUCAAUCUCCACCAGGAUCAUCAGCUGUCGAUACUUUGUUCCAAUCAGUACAUUGAGAACAACUUUGCUCGUGGUUCUAACUCCAUUAACAACAAAUCCUUAAAAACUCCAUGUGAAGAAACCAUUGAAAUUUAAGUUGCAAUCAAUUCAGAUGCCGUGAGAUUAUUAAUAUUCAUCAAGUUUUGUAAUAUUUAUUCAAAGAUAUUAUGUAAACAAUAAAAAUAUGGUUUUGGACAAUUCUGGGUGUAAUUAAUUGAAA
This is a long non-coding RNA of Zingiber officinale, 1424 nucleotides long. RefSeq lists it as uncharacterized. The record is from RefSeq and is a predicted model, not a curated record. Lineage: Eukaryota; Viridiplantae; Streptophyta; Magnoliopsida; Zingiberales; Zingiberaceae. The transcript is spliced from 6 exons.